CAAUAGCGUAUAUUUAAGUUGUUGCAGUUAAAAAGCUCGUAGUUGGAUUUCGGGUUGGCUUCAGCGGUCUCGCUUUGCGUUUGUACUGCCGCAGCCUUCCUUCUUGCUGGGGACGGUCCUCCGGGCUUCAUUGCUUGGGGUCUGGAAUCAGCGACGUUACUUUGAGUAAAUUAGAGUGUUCAAAGCAAGCCUACGCUCUGAAUAUAAUAGCAUGGGAUAACACGACAGGACUCUGGCCUAUCGUGUUGGUCUGUAGGACCAGAGUAAUGAUUAAGAGGGACAGUCGGGGGCAUUCGUAUUCCGUUGUCAGAGGUGAAAUUCUUGGAUUUACGGAAGACGAACAUCUGCGAAAGCAUUUACCAAGGAUGUUUUCAUUGA
This 378-nucleotide ribosomal RNA is filed under the name uncultured eukaryote. RNAcentral's name for it is "partial 18S ribosomal RNA". It matches the Rfam family "Eukaryotic small subunit ribosomal RNA", at positions 592 to 976 of the family's 1831-position model. The record is from RNAcentral.